RNAcentral lists this transfer RNA (72 nucleotides) under Nanobdellota archaeon. RNAcentral's name for it is "tRNA-Ala". It matches the Rfam family "tRNA". Rfam says of the family: Transfer RNA (tRNA) molecules are approximately 80 nucleotides in length. Their secondary structure includes four short double-helical elements and three loops (D, anti-codon, and T loops). Further hydrogen bonds mediate the characteristic L-shaped molecular structure. tRNAs have two regions of fundamental functional importance: the anti-codon, which is responsible for specific mRNA codon recognition, and the 3' end, to which the tRNAs corresponding amino acid is attached (by aminoacyl-tRNA synthetases). tRNAs cope with the degeneracy of the genetic code in two manners: having more than one tRNA (with a specific anti-codon) for a particular amino acid; and 'wobble' base-pairing, i.e. permitting non-standard base-pairing at the 3rd anti-codon position. The record is from RNAcentral. Lineage: Archaea; Nanobdellati; Nanobdellota.
GGGCCUGUAAUAUAACGGCUAUUAUACACCGCUGGCAGCGGUGAGACCCGAGUUCAAUUCUCGGCAGGUCCA